AGAAGAAAAAAAAAAGCUUUUUUUUUUUUAGUUCUUCCCUAUUCUUCAUCGUCUCUCUCUGUUUCGCGAUUGUUUUAACGGCGAAGGCUUCGGAGAUGUUCCAUCGAAUCGAGAGGUGAAAUCGGAUAGUGAAUUUGCAUGGACGGAAUUGACCGAUUCAGCGGUUGCAUGUGACAGGCGGCGGGUUUGAUCACCAACGCUGACUCGAUUGUGGUAGGGCGGAUUAUCGGUGAAUUUUUCCGGCGAUGAGAGUCACAAGAACAAGUGUUAAAAUCUCCCGACAAAAAUUUCCCGGUGGUUUUUUUAAGAGAAAGGUUCCAUUUGUCAUUGUUGAAAAGGAUCAACAAUCGCAAUAACUUUGAUUUUCAUACAUGAAUCUACACCUAAUUCUGAGCUCGUUAAGCAUCACAAGAGUAUUAUCAUGGUGGUCCAAUCUCAGUAGCAGAGUACAUGGAGGAAGUUUUGACUAAUCCUAAAGCAGGAUUCUACAUGAAUCGUGAUGUAUCUAGAGCUUAAGGUGAUUUCAUUACUUCUCCAGAAGUUAGUCAAAUGUCUGUUCAUGUAAUUACUUAGCAUUUAUUGAUUAUUGAUGAUAAGUCUAGAACAUGUGUUGCUAAUGUUUAACUUUCAAGUGGUUAAUUUGUUACUUGUUAUGCGUAAUCUUGUUUAUUUGCCA
Long non-coding RNA from Camelina sativa (false flax), 676 nucleotides. RefSeq lists it as uncharacterized. The record is from RefSeq and is a predicted model, not a curated record. NCBI's taxonomy places the organism in Eukaryota, Viridiplantae, Streptophyta, Magnoliopsida, Brassicales, Brassicaceae.